RNAcentral lists this ribosomal RNA (1396 nucleotides) under Spirotrichonympha sp. Hs1. RNAcentral's name for it is "SSU rRNA". It matches the Rfam family "Eukaryotic small subunit ribosomal RNA", at positions 20 to 1661 of the family's 1831-position model. The record is from RNAcentral. Lineage: Eukaryota; Parabasalia; Holomastigotoidida; Holomastigotoididae.
AAGGAAGCACACUAAGGCCAUAGAUUAAGCCAUGCAAGUGCUAGUUCAGGCAACGAAACUGCGAACAGCUCAUUAAUACGCUCAGAACCUAUUUGGUUUCGGCCCAGCAGGGUCCUAUAUGGAUAGCAGUGGUAAUUCUAGUGCUAAUACAUGCGGACUAAACACCCUAUUCGAAUAGAGGUGUGGACUUGACCAUUUGGCGUACCAUUCGGUUGAGCGCCCUAUCAGCUUGUUCGUAGUAUCUUUUACUAUGAAGGCUAUCACGGGUAACGGGCGGUUGCCGUCGGACUGCCGGAGAGGGCGCCUGAGAGAUAGCGGCCAUCCCCAUGGGGAGCAGCAGGCGCGAAACUUACCCACUCGCCAACGGCGGAGGUGGUAAUGGCCCGUUCAAUCGCGUCGCAAGACCGGCUGAUAGGGUUACAAUUUUCCAUUGUAGCGUAACCUAGGAGAGGGCCAGUUCUGGUGCCAGCAGCUGCGGUAAUUCCAGCUCUCCAAGUUUGCUCCCAAUGCUACAUUUAAAACGCCCGUAGUCGGAACACGAAGCUCGCGUAGAGCGUUCACCGUGAUUAAAUCAGCAUGCUUAGAGUAGUUCGUAACUGAAUGACUCAGCGCGGUAUGAGAUCUUUACUUUUGCAAAAAAGUCAGAUCAAAGAGAGCCAUCGGGGGUAAAUCUAUUUCAUGGCGAGCGGCGGAAUGUGUUGACCCAUGAGAGAGAAACGAAUGCGAAAGCAUUUACCUAGAGGGUUUCUGUCGAUCAAGGGCGAGAGUCGCAGGAUCCAACCGGAUUAGAGACCCGGGUAGUUGCGACCUUAAACUAUGCCGACGGGGCCACAUCUUUUGGUGGGGUUCUAAGCGAAAGCCUGAGUCGCUGGGCUAUGGGGGAACUACGCUCGCAAGACUGAAACUUGAAGGAAUUGACGGAAGGGCACACCAGGGGUGGAUACUGUGGCUCAAUCUGACUCAACGCGGAGAAACUUACCAGGACCAGAUAUUUUUAAUGACUGACCAGCUAAAGACUGUUCAGGAUAUGAUUUUUGGUGGUGCAUGGCCGUUGGUGGUGCGUGGAUUGAUCUGUCAUACGUCGAUUCAGAUAACGAGCGAGACUACCACUGACUAUCUAGUCAUCUGCUCUUUGGAGUUGUUUGUCUUCUAGUCAGGACUCCAGGCGUUUAAGCCUGCGGAAGAGGGUAGCACUAACAGGUCCGUUAUGUCCUUUAGAUGCUCUGGGCUGCACGCGUUCUACAAUGCUAGAAUCAUCGGGAUGCUAACCUGAGAAGGUAUGCUACUCCCUUAAUCUCUAGCGUAGUUGGGAUUGACGAUUGUAAUCAUCGUCAUGAACCAGGAAUCCCUUGUAAACGUGUAUCAACAUUGCACGUUGAAUACGUCCCUGCCCUUU